UACGUAGGGUGCGAGCGUUGUCCGGAAUUACUGGGCGUAAAGAGCUCGUAGGUGGUUUGUCGCGUUGUCCGUGAAAACUCACAGCUCAGCUGUGGGCGUGCGGGCGAUACGGGCAGACUGGAGUACUGCAGGGGAGACUGGAAUUCCUGGUGUAGCGGUGGAAUGCGCAGAUAUCAGGAGGAACACCGGUGGCGAAGGCGGGUCUCUGGGCAGUAACUGACGCUGAGGAGCGAAAGCGUGGGGAGCGAACAGG
This 253-nucleotide ribosomal RNA is filed under the name uncultured bacterium. RNAcentral's name for it is "partial 16S ribosomal RNA". It matches the Rfam family "Bacterial small subunit ribosomal RNA", at positions 524 to 776 of the family's 1533-position model. The record is from RNAcentral.